This 409-nucleotide ribosomal RNA is filed under the name uncultured bacterium. RNAcentral's name for it is "bacterial SSU rRNA". It matches the Rfam family "Bacterial small subunit ribosomal RNA", at positions 746 to 1157 of the family's 1533-position model. The record is from RNAcentral.
CUCAUGCACGAAAAGCGUGGGGGGGCAAAAAGGAUUUGAUACCCUGUAGUCCACGCCCUAAAACGAAUGUCAACUGGUUGUUGGACGGCUUGCUGUUCAGUAACGAAGCUAACGCGUGAAGUUGACCGCCUGGGGAGUACGGCCGCAAGGUUGAAACUCAAAGGAAUUGACGGGGGCCCGCACAAGCGGUGGAUGAUGUGGUUUAAUUCGAUGCAACGCGAAAAACCUUACCUACCCUUGACAUGCUAGGAAUUCUGCAGAGAUGUGGAAGUGCUCGAAAGAGAACCUAGACACAGGUGCUGCAUGGCCGUCGUCAGCUCGUGUCGUGAGAUGUUGGGUUAAGUCCCGCAACGAGCGCAACCCUUGUCAUUAGUUGCUACGAAAGGGCACUCUAAUGAGACUGCCGGUG